Molecule: ribosomal RNA, 253 nt
Filed under: uncultured bacterium
Lineage: Bacteria
Description: partial 16S ribosomal RNA
Rfam family: Bacterial small subunit ribosomal RNA
Source: RNAcentral
UACGGAGGGUGCGAGCGUUAAUCGGAAUUACUGGGCGUAAAGGGUGCGUAGGUGGUUUAAUAAGUUAACUGUGAAAACUCUGGGCUUAACCUGGAGGUGUCAGUUAAGACUGUUAGGCUAGAGUAUAGGAGAGGGUAGUGGAAUUUCCGGUGUAGCGGUGAAAUGCGUAGAUAUCGGGAGGAACACCAGUGGCGAAGGCGGCUUUCUGGUCUGUUCUUGACGCUGAGGCGCGAAAGCUAGGGUAGCAAACGGG